Molecule: long non-coding RNA, 621 nt
Organism: Myzus persicae (green peach aphid)
Lineage: Eukaryota; Metazoa; Arthropoda; Insecta; Hemiptera; Aphididae
Exons: 2
Source: RefSeq, a predicted model, not a curated record
GAUCAAAUGUAGAAUUUAAACUCUUAACAUAAUACAUAACUGUAAAAAUAUUAAAAUUCACAAUACUCGUAACUUUAUUUAAGAGGACGCCACAUCUGCAUGCUUUGUCUCAGUCUCACAAAUGUAUAACAUUUAAAAUGAUCAUUACUCGCUUUAAAAUGUAAAUAUAAAAUAAAACCUGUCAUAGACUAAAUUAUAUUCAUGCUUAUAAAUUUGAUGGUAGAUUAAUUUACUCUAACUCUGUUAUUAAACAUAACAGAAUUUAAUGAAUCAUUCGGAACAUACAAUUUGUUAUAUUACGCAUUUGUAAGACAGGGAUAAGGCAUGCAGGUAUGAUGUCUUCUUCACUAUUAAUUUUACAGGUUGGACAUCAAAUUGAACGAGCCAUUUUGUCAAAUACUUGCCAUGGCAAAAUAUCAUUUUUCUCCCACUGAAUCAAACCAGUUAUUAUUAAAAGAAGUAUGUUCAUUGAAAAUUUUGAUCAAAGAAGUGGAUCAAAAAUCAUGGUAGAAAGGUUAUAUUGGAGACAAAAUAGGUUUUUUUCCAAAAGUUUAUGUACAAGAACACCCACUGUGUUCUUUAGAAAUAUCCAGUUUAAUCAGAAUAUAAUUUAGCUGCAAC